This is a long non-coding RNA of Amphiprion ocellaris (clown anemonefish), 1090 nucleotides long. Lineage: Eukaryota; Metazoa; Chordata; Actinopteri; Pomacentridae. The record is from Ensembl.
UGGAUGCCGGGGAGAUCCACGCCUACGACGAGUCUUACAGCCUGCUUCAAGAUCCAAACGGGACCUUUUAUAAGAUGGUCCAGCAGACGGGCAAACAGGAGGCUGCAGCUCUGCAGUCGGCAGCUGAGCAGGUUUACUCCAACCGAAGCCGUGCUAACGUUCCAAACGGACACGCAGAAACGGCAGACGGUAACAUCGUAAUCUUUGAGACGGCUCUGUAAGCCGAAGAAGAGUCUCUGCUCUGCCAGAAGCCUCAGAGAGCUGCUGGGCUCGUCCACCGGUCCACCAGACAGACGGUGAGGAGACGCAUCUCAGGACCUACAGGGAGGCUGCAGCCUCAGUGAACAUCUGAGCCAAACAGUCUAACGCUGUUUGUUGGAGCUCACAGACCUGAGAAAUCACUGCUGUACAAACUGUUGAAGCAGACCAAUAUUUAUUAUCUGCUGCUUCAUAUUUAUCAUGUUGAAUAGCUUUCAAAUGGCCAUGUAAUCCUUAAAAACCAAGUGCCUUAUUUCAAGUUUGUGUAAAUUUAACCGUUCAAAGAAUAUCUGUAUCUGUGAGUCCAGGUAGCAGAGAAGCACGGAAUCAGCGACUAAAUCUACCUGAGGUUGCUGCUUAAUCAGUCGCAGCAUUUGGGUUCCUUUUCCACGAAUGUUUGUCGUUCAGACCACUGUGAUGUUAGUCAGGUAUGUAUUCUACAUAGGACAGAAAAGCAGCUGAUCACCUGAGGACGGCUGCGAUGUAGCUAAAGUCUUACCUCCAGCUUAUAGGAAGAUCACUGCUCUGACUAAAGGAAAGUGAGUUCAUUCAGACACGAGACUGACGAACCUGAAGACACAUUUCACUGCAGCAGCACUUUCUGUGUUAUAUUUCAGCAACAGUCUGUUCUCAACACUGAUGUCUUUGCCUUAAACAAAUCCAGACACACAUGUACCAGACUUUAGAAACAGUCUGAAAAGGAGUUUCUCGUACAGAUGCUGUGGUCCUUGUACUCCCACUCCACUGAUUUAAGAGCUUACAGGGAGGAGGGAAUCUUAACAGCUGCUACAGAUGAUGUGGAGUUUGUUGAAUGACUUUGAUCUGUUCACAC